GACGAACGCUGGCGGCGUGCUUAACACAUGCAAGUCGAACGGAAAGGCCCUGCUUUUGUGGGGUGCUCGAGUGGCGAACGGGUGAGUAACACGUGAGUAACCUGCCCUUGACUUUGGGAUAACUUCAGGAAACUGGGGCUAAUACCGGAUAGGAGCUCCUGCUGCAUGGUGGGGGUUGGAAAGUUUCGGCGGUUGGGGAUGGACUCGCGGCUUAUCAGCUUGUUGGUGGGGUAGUGGCUUACCAAGGCUUUGACGGGUAGCCGGCCUGAGAGGGUGACCGGCCACAUUGGGACUGAGAUACGGCGCAGACUGCUACGGGAGGCAGCAGUGGGGAAUAUUGCACAAUGGGCGGAAGCGUGAUGAAGCAACGCUGCGUGCGUGAUGACGGUCUUCGGGUUGUAAACCGCUUUCGCCUGUGACGAAGCGUGAGUGACGGUAAUGGGUAAAGAAGCACCGGCUAACUACGUG
RNAcentral lists this ribosomal RNA (468 nucleotides) under uncultured bacterium. RNAcentral describes it as "partial 16S ribosomal RNA". It matches the Rfam family "Bacterial small subunit ribosomal RNA", at positions 28 to 507 of the family's 1533-position model. The record is from RNAcentral.